GAGAACGUGGUGUAACUGGAUGAACACAUCGGUCUACGAAACUGAAGAGUGAAGGUUCAACUCCUUCCGUUCUCGCCA
RNAcentral lists this transfer RNA (78 nucleotides) under Leptolyngbya sp. 'hensonii'. Its description in RNAcentral is "tRNA-Arg". It matches the Rfam family "tRNA". Rfam says of the family: Transfer RNA (tRNA) molecules are approximately 80 nucleotides in length. Their secondary structure includes four short double-helical elements and three loops (D, anti-codon, and T loops). The record is from RNAcentral. Lineage: Bacteria; Bacillati; Cyanobacteriota; Cyanophyceae; Leptolyngbyales; Leptolyngbyaceae.